This 467-nucleotide ribosomal RNA is filed under the name uncultured bacterium. Its description in RNAcentral is "partial 16S ribosomal RNA". It matches the Rfam family "Bacterial small subunit ribosomal RNA", at positions 28 to 506 of the family's 1533-position model. The record is from RNAcentral.
GACGAACGCUGGCGGCGUGCUUAACACAUGCAAGUCGAACGGAAAGGCCCUGCUUUUGUGGGGUGCUCGAGUGGCGAACGGGUGAGUAACACGUGAGUAACCUGCCCUUGACUUUGGGAUAACUUCAGGAAACUGGGGCUAAUACCGGAUAGGAGCUCCUGCUGCAUGGUGGGGGUUGGAAAGUUUCGGCGGUUGGGGAUGGACUCGCGGCUUAUCAGCUUGUUGGUGGGGUAGUGGCUUACCAAGGCUUUGACGGGUAGCCGGCCUGAGAGGGUGACCGGCCACAUUGGGACUGAGAUACGGCCCAGACUCCUACGGGAGGCAGCAGUGGGGAAUAUUGCACAAUGGGCGGAAGCCUGAUGCAGCAACGCCGCGUGCGGGAUGAAGGCCUUCGGGUUGUAAACCGCUUUCGCCUGUGACGAAGCGUGAGUGACGGUAAUGGGUAAAGAAGCACCGGCUAACUACGU